GGUUUGAUCACAGGAAUGGGGUAGUCACUUAAAUUAUUUUUAUUGCUAAUCUCUUAAUAGCAAAACUUCUCCAGGUAAGUGCUUUUGUGUUUCAUACAUAGAAUAAUUAUUAGGAGAUGAAUUAAAGUUAAUGGACCAAGUUCUCAAACAAUAUUUCACCAUUUCCUUACUGAGAAAAAAAAUAUCCCUGAAUGCUUUUGAGAUAUUGAUUGAAAUAUGGGGAAAAUAUAAACUUUCCACACAUUUUCUAGACACUUAAAAUCAUUAAAUAGAUUUAAGUUUUAUUUUUUUCUGAAAGAAGCGAUAAUAAUUUGUUACAUUUGUUUUGCAUAAACAUAACUUUAUAUAAUUUUAUAUGAUAUUUAUGCAUUAUUCCACUUUGAAUUUUUCUGUCAAAAGAGCUGAAAUAUAGAAGCAUAGUCCAAUGUAAUUUAUUUAGAAAAAAUAAACUUUCUUUCUUUUGAGAGGGAGAUACAAGAGAAGUUUUGGAAAAUGAAAUAAAACCAUAGAUUUGCAGACUAACAAACUGAUUUUUAACUAUGAUUUCUCAGGAUUAUAACAUAGAAUAUUUAUUUUUAUGAUUUCUUAAUACUGACUAUACUGGUUUUAUUUUUUCUUAUGAAAAUUUUAGGAGAAUUCUCUAUGGACUCUGUAUGCAGAAAAGUUUCUGAAGAUUUGAAGUGCAAUUGGAAGCAUGUGGUGAGGAGCCAGAAGACAGAGAAGAUUUGAACCAAGCUGUUACUUCUCUCAUGAAUCAUGAAUGGACAUAAUGUAAAAACUGUAUUCAUCUAGACACCAAUCUUCUUAAUUCCAAACUGAUGAAACAAUAAAUAUUUCUUCAUGCUUCAUUGUAUUUGGUGCUUGGUUUUCUCAAAAAAUAUAAAUUAUAAUGAAAGUUGCAAUUUUAAAGGUCAUGCUUUUCUUUCAAUUUUCUGUUUUACUUUUUAUUAGCUCUUUCACAGCUAAUACACCUAAAAUGUGUUUAAUUAUUUUUAUAAUCAAUACAAGAGUUUAAGUUUCUUUGUAAUUUUACUACUUAGGGUAAUAGGAAUUUUGAAAUAUAGAGUCUGUAGUAGUUCUUUUUCACAGCAAUGAAACAGGGCAUAUAUGUAUUAGUGACAAAGUUAAAAGAACAUAAAUUUUGUUUAUAAAAUUUAGUAUUUUGUUAUUUUUUUUCUUUUAAAAGUCUGUGGAUUAUACCCAUGGUUUUAUUUAUACUGAUAACUUGUUCUGUACCACUGAAUAACACCAUUAGCCCAAUGCAAUAUUUUUGCAACUUGAUUUGAAAGUUUGCCCUUGAGGCAAUUAGGAAUUGGGAUUGUACAAUUAUUGAUUAAACUUAAAUUCUUAUCCUUUUUUUUUAAAUUAGGGAUCCAGUUUGCCUUUUUUAUAAUCAUUAAUUAAUUAGAAAGAACUGGACCAACAGAAAAAUGACAGAAAUUGGGAAAAAUAGAUGGAUGGAUAAGCAAAGAUAUUGCACAGUGCUGCAAUGAAUUCAUAAUGGAAGGACAAAUGCCAAGAACUGGUGCUAAGAAGAAAGACAUAUUUUUUUCUUUGAUGGCUUAAUGAUCAGAAGUAAACUUAAUCAUGGCCAGACCAGCUUCCAGGUUACAGUAGUGCAGACUAUAGAUUAAAAGAAAAGUUUUCUUUUAUGUGGAGAGUAGAAAUCUGUGAUAAGGAAGAUACCUGUGGGGCAGACAUGCCUUUGCACUAGUACCCCAAAUGACAACAGUAUCAUAUUUGCUGCUAAGUCUGAAGAAGAGAAAAAUAAUUGCAUGGCAACCCUUGCUUAUCUUAAUUAAGGAUCAUAUAGCUGAAGGCAAUUUUUUUUGUAGUUCUAUGUAUGCAGUAUUGUAGAAAAGGCUUUAUAGAAUUUGUAUGUUCUAUAAAAUGAUAGGAAACUGGAAUCUUCAGUUGAUUAGUUUUCUCUGUUGUAUUUAAAAUGUUUUUUUUCUAAUUUAUGUAUCAACAAAUUCCUUUACUUUUGGUUUCCUUCUUAGAUUUGAAAUUCCAGAUCCAGAACCUACUGAAGCAGACAAAUUGGCAAUAGAGAAAAGUGAACAGCCAUUCAGUGUUGGACUUCGAAAUAAAUAUGUCCAACCAGGACAACUUAGGUUUUAAUUGAAUAUUACAUUUUCUAUGUGCCAUUAAUGUUCAGUUUAUAGUAAACACAAA
Ictidomys tridecemlineatus (thirteen-lined ground squirrel) is the source of this 2175-nucleotide non-coding RNA. The record is from RefSeq and is a predicted model, not a curated record. Lineage: Eukaryota; Metazoa; Chordata; Mammalia; Rodentia; Sciuridae.